Molecule: ribosomal RNA, 493 nt
Filed under: uncultured bacterium
Lineage: Bacteria
Description: partial 16S ribosomal RNA
Rfam family: Bacterial small subunit ribosomal RNA
Source: RNAcentral
GACGAACGCUGGCGGCGUGCUUAACACAUGCAAGUCGAACGGUGAAGGGACCGGUUUUUGCUGGUUCUGGAUGAGUGGCGAACGGGUGAGUAACACGUGAGUAACCUGCCCCCUUCUUCUGGAUAACCGCAUGAAAGUGUGGCUAAUACGGGAUAUUCUGCGCCUGCUGCAUGGUGGGUGUGGGAAAGAUAUUGUUUCGGUGGGGGAUGGGCUCGCGGCCUAUCAGCUUGUUGGUGGGGUGAUGGCCUACCAAGGCGGUGACGGGUAGCCGGCCUGAGAGGGUGGACGGUCACACUGGGACUGAGACACGGCCCAGACUACUACGGGAGGCAGCAGUGGGGAAUAUUGCACAAUGGGCGCAAGCCUGAUGCAGCGACGCCGCGUGAGGGAUGGAGGCCUUCGGGUUGUAAACCUCUUUCGCCAGUGAAGCAGGCCUGUCCCUUUUGUGGGUGGGUUGACGGUAGCUGGAUAAGAAGCGCCGGCUAACUACGUG